UGAGGAAUAUUGCGCAAUGGGGGAAACCCUGACGCAGCAAUGCCGCGUGAGCGAUGAAGCCUUUUGGGGUGUAAAGCUCUGUCAAGAGGGAAGAUUAUGACGGUACCUCUAGAGGAAGUCACGGCUAAUUACGUGCCAGCAGCCGCGGUAAUACGUAAGUGGCAAGCGUUAUCCGAAUUUACUGGGCAUAAAGCGCACGCAGGCGGUUAAUUAAGUCAGUUGUGAAAGGCUACAGCUUAACUGUAGUUUGCUUCUGAUACUGAUUGACUAGAGAACAGGAGAGGAAAGUGGAACACACGGUGUAGCGGUGAAAUGCGUAGAUAUCGUGAGGAACACCAGUGGCGAAGGCGACUUUCUGGACUGAUUCUGACGCUGAGGUGCGAAAGCGUGGGGAGCGAAUGGG
RNAcentral lists this ribosomal RNA (403 nucleotides) under uncultured bacterium. RNAcentral describes it as "bacterial SSU rRNA". It matches the Rfam family "Bacterial small subunit ribosomal RNA", at positions 355 to 776 of the family's 1533-position model. The record is from RNAcentral.